RNAcentral lists this ribosomal RNA (253 nucleotides) under uncultured bacterium. RNAcentral's name for it is "partial 16S ribosomal RNA". It matches the Rfam family "Bacterial small subunit ribosomal RNA", at positions 524 to 776 of the family's 1533-position model. The record is from RNAcentral.
GACAGAGGGUGCGAGCGUUGUCCGGAUUUAUUGGGCGUAAAGAGCGUGUAGGCGGCCAGGUAGGUCGGUUGUGAAAACUAGAGGCUCAACCUCUAGACGUCGACCGAAACCACUUGGCUAGAGUCCGGAAGAGGAGAGUGGAAUUCCUGGUGUAGCGGUGAAAUGCGCAGAUAUCAGGAAGAACACCCGUGGCGAAGGCGGCUCUCUGGGACGGUACUGACGCUGAGACGCGAAAGCGUGGGGAGCGAACAGG